Zootermopsis nevadensis is the source of this 1839-nucleotide RNA transcript. RefSeq lists it as uncharacterized. The record is from RefSeq and is a predicted model, not a curated record. Lineage: Eukaryota; Metazoa; Arthropoda; Insecta; Blattodea; Termopsidae.
UUCACUAAUGGGUAGGAGGGGAGGGGGAAUGCUUUUUAAACCAGAGUCGCAGCGCGGAUCGCUCAGUCUGUAUUGUUGAGGUCGCCGCUGAGCCAUGAGUCGAUUCUUCAUCCUUGUAUUGGUGGUUGCAGCUGCAGCGUCCGCUUAUGCAGAGAUAAGCUGUGAGCCUGGUUCCAUCUUCAAAGAUGACUGCAACACAUGUCGCUGUUCAGCAGAUGGAAGUCGAGCAGCUUGCACCCACAGUAUAUGUUCACCAUCUGUCAGGCAGAAACGUGCUCCCAGAGAUGGAGAGCGGUGUGAGCCUGGAACAAGAUUCAUGGAUGAGUGCAAUAUGUGCAUCUGCUCACAGGAUGGCAUAAAAGCUCAUGCAUCAUGCACCAUUAACAUAUGUAGGAGGAUCAAGAGAGCACCUGAGACCUGUGAACCUGGGACAGUAUUCAAGAAAGAUUGCAACACUUGCACAUGCUCUGCAGAUGGAGGAAGUGCUGUUUGCACUCUGAAAGCAUGUCUGCCUCAGAAAAUAAGAAAACGAGAUGUUGAGAAAUGUGUACCUGGCACAACUUACAAGAAGGAAUGCAACACCUGUCGAUGUUCUGCUGAUGGACAAAAAGAAGCCUGCACUCUCAAGUUCUGUGUACCAAAUGCAGGUGUUGAACUUGCAUGGAGAUGUCAUUCUGGUGAGAUAUUCAAGAGGGACUGUAAUAUUUGCAUCUGCUCAGCAGAUGGAAUUCCAGAUCAUGCAUCCUGUACCUUUUACCUUUGCAGAAGAAAUAAACAAGGUGUUGAACUCGCACGGAGAUGUCAUUCUGGUGAGAUAUUCAUGAGAGACUGCAAUAUUUGCAUCUGCCCAGCAAAUGGAAUUGCGGAUCUUGCAUCCUGUACACUUCACUAUUGUAGGAGAAAUGAAGAAGGUACAACACCAAGGUACAGACAGACGAAUUGUGACAUGGGCUAGAUGCUUAGAGACUUGGAAACUUGCAACACUGUAUAGUUUUCAGUAAAAAUUAUCAAUAACUUGACCAAAAAUAAGAAAAUCUGUGAAUAGGAAAUUUACAGGUUCGGAGGGAUGGCCGAGACUUUUAUGAACAUGUUAAAUAAAUGCUAGGGUACCUGCAAGAAUCUUUGAAUGACGUUGAGAGUGGGAGUGAAUGUAAAAUUGAAGGUGACCACAGCAUGAAAUGUGCUGAGGUUGAGUGACAAUUUCAAGAAGUUAAACCAUUGCACCUCCCUACCUCAGACAUUCGUCAACCGCUGUUUGUGAAGAAUCCUAAACAUUCAUUGGCCAGAAGCGAUUUCCAACCAAGAACUCUGGACAAGGACAGAGGAAAUUGAGGUAUCCAUGCAGAUAAAGCGGCGGAAGUGGAUUGGGCACACGCUGAGGAAGGGGAAUGAAGCCAUUGAGAGAGAGGUCUUGGACUGGAACCCGUAGGGGAGAAGGAAAGAGGGAGGCCCAGACUGACGUGGCGAAGAUCAGUCCACGCUGAGGCAUUGGAAGUUAAAAAGAGCUGGAACGAAGUAAAGAGGAUGGCCAUCAGUAGAACCAGGGAGCGGUGUUUUGUCCCAUGAGGGACAACAGGAAUUGAUGAUGAUGACCAUGUAGUCUGAUGAUGGAGGCAGCAAGGACCUAUGAAACGUCAGUAAACUUAUACCAGAUUACUCGGCGCAACAACCCAGAAGUCAGCCAUCUUCAAAUAGUUACUUCCAGUGCUGUUAGGAGGUGUAUACCUGGAUCAGUUUACAAGAAGGGUUGUAAAAUGUGCCAGUGUUCAAAGAAUGGCAAAACUGAAGUUUGCACUUUGAAUUCUUGUUGAAAUGAUGUUCUGGAACCACUUCCUAUGA